RNAcentral lists this non-coding RNA (50 nucleotides) under Karenia brevis. Lineage: Eukaryota; Dinophyceae; Gymnodiniales; Kareniaceae. The record is from RNAcentral.
GGCGUGAGGAUGGCUUCACACAGCUGUGGGUAGUUCCUCUGGCUGCAGCG